CAUCCUACCGUGCUCUGUGUUCCCCCAUGAGUCAGUGCCUUGUUUCAGGGUCAAGGUGUAUCAGCAAAGAGAAGAGGUCAGCUCACUCUCAAGGGAGACAAGAACAAAAGGGGUCUGCAGUCUUAUGAACCCUGAGGCUGGAGGGAGGAAGCAGAGAGAGGAUUAGGAGUAGAAAAUUACUGAGUACUGAGUUAGAAGGAGAAAAAAUGUCUUCGAGUCUACCUCUCCUCAAUAAAGAGGUCUGAGUAGAGGCAACUUACAAAGGCCUCAGCGAAAGGCCACAAAUAAAGAGGGCUCCACCUGAGGACACUGGGGUCAAGAACACAGCUGUAUAAGUUUAAGAGCUUGGCCCACCAGUUGCAGUUGCCUGAAACUCCCUUCAGAAACUGUAAUUCAUUCUGUCCGCACCAAGUCAGCUGUGACAAAGCCAGCUCUCCCCGAGGCCUGCCAGGUUGGAGAGGAUGUGGAGAGAAGGAAACCCUCGUACACUGCUGGUGGGAGUGAAAACUGGUGCAGCCACUAUGGAAAGCAGUAUGGAGUAUCCUCAGCAAAUUAAGAAUAGAUCAACCAUAUGAUCCAGCUAUCCCACUGCUGGCCUUUCAAAUAUCGUUCCAUUUUCUGCAGGCCUUAAUUAUUUCUGAUAAGGGCAAUGGUGAAGGCAUGCAUAUCCCAACUGACCUCUUGGAUUACAUCUUGAUAAAAAGUAACAGUGUUUUACCACCACACUUCAUGCCACAGGUAAUUUCCUUUGGAUCCUUAGAGAGUCCAGCAAUUUUAUAUUUUUCACUUGAGGGAGCCACUUCUGGUAUUAAAAC
This 815-nucleotide long non-coding RNA is filed under the name Equus caballus (horse). RNAcentral describes it as "lncRNA (ENSECAG00000048177.1)". The record is from RNAcentral. Lineage: Eukaryota; Metazoa; Chordata; Mammalia; Perissodactyla; Equidae.